ACUUUUCUAAUACAACCAGUAUAAAUGACUUCCAAUCAUUCAAUUUCAGCUAAAACCUGAAGAAAAGUA
This 69-nucleotide transfer RNA is filed under the name Trionyx triunguis (African softshell turtle). RNAcentral describes it as "tRNA-Gly". Lineage: Eukaryota; Metazoa; Chordata; Testudines; Trionychidae. The record is from RNAcentral.